AUAUAGUUAAGCAAAUCUUGGCAAAGCCAAUUCAAUUAGCUGAUCAGGUGAUUCAGGCAGCUGAUGAGGCAGUUUUAUUCAAUCAUGAAUGUGCUGAGCUCAAGUCCAAGACUGAGAAGCUGAUUGUGCUGCUUCGUCAAGCAGCACGAGCCAGCAACGAGCUCUAUCAACGACCCAUGAGCCGAAUUAUUGAUGAUACUGAACAAGCUUUGGAAAGAGCUAUGUCUAUUGUUAUCAAAUGUUGCACUCAGGGACUAGUAAAGCGCGUAUUUACCAUCAUACCUUCUGCAGAUUUCCGUAACUUGUCUACACAGUUAGAAAAUUCUAUUAGUAAUGUGUCGUGGCUCCUUCGUGUAUCUGCCUCAGCUGACGAGGGUGCUGAUAGGUAUUUAGGACUUCCUCCUAUUGUUACUAAUGAGCCUAUAUUGUGUUUUAUUUGGGAGCAUAUAGCGAUUUUGUGUACUGGUUCGGUUAAUGAUCGAUCUGAUGCUGCUGCAUCUUUGGUUUCAUUGGCUAGAGAUAAUGACCGGAACAGAAAAUUGAUCAUCGAAGAAGGUGGAGUAGGGCCACUGUUGAAAUUGUUGAAGGAAGGGAAAUUGGAGGGUCAGGAGAAUGCUGCAAAGGCAAUUGGAUUGCUAGGAUGUGACCCUGUAAGUGUUGAACACAUGGUGAACGCUGGGGUGUGUUUAGUGUUAGUGAAAAUCCUUAAAGAAGGUCUAAUGAAAGUUCAAGCAGUGGUGGCUUGGGCA
This 749-nucleotide unclassified non-coding RNA is filed under the name Hevea brasiliensis (rubber tree). Lineage: Eukaryota; Viridiplantae; Streptophyta; Magnoliopsida; Malpighiales; Euphorbiaceae. The record is from RNAcentral.